This is a non-coding RNA of Schizosaccharomyces pombe (fission yeast), 3179 nucleotides long. The record is from the annotation of a GenBank genome assembly. Lineage: Eukaryota; Fungi; Ascomycota; Schizosaccharomycetes; Schizosaccharomycetales; Schizosaccharomycetaceae.
CACAAUGUGAAUGGAACGGUAGCUCCUAUGUAAGAAAUAAGAAUGUUAAAGUUGGCUUUUAAGCAGUUUAGCAAUUUUUCUGCGAAACUAGUAAGUAGAUGCAAGGAAACUGGUUUCCACAUUGUUUGGAUUAACUCUACCUUUUCAUUCAUUGCUUCCAAGGUAUUGUUUGUUUACGUACACCCUAACUUGACUUGAAAAAUUUUAAACUAAAAAGUUGCUUUAAACAUAAAUUUAAUAACUAAUCAUUAUACUAAAAGACUAUAUGAAUUGAAUGGGCUUAUCAUAAAAAACAUAUAAAUCAAAGGAAACUUUGUUUGCCAAUUCCACUCUCAAUAGCUUGCUCAUUGCUUAUUGAUCUUAGACGUCAACUUGGCUUGCUCAACUAGGACACGAGGUGCAUCCAACAUAGGCAUUACAAGCUCAACUACUUGAAUGACAUCUGCAUUUGCAAACUCCUUGUCGCUAAACAACUUUUCAACGUCAGUAGGAGUUUUAACACAGUAAGUGCGGAAGUGGUUUUCAGCAGCUCCGAAAAACUUGGGAAUCUGUUGGUAGCCCCAUUUAGUGUUAAUUUCGUUAUAGCUAGCAUGCAAACCAUGAAUUAAACGCUCAAUGGUGUAACCGUCGUUGUUAAUUAUGAAAAUAAUUGGUUUGAGGUUAUGGCGAAUGCAGGUUGAAAUCUCUGUAAUCGUCAGUUGUAAGGAUCCAUCACCUACUACAAGAAUGGUACGACGAUCGGGCUCUUUAGAAUCGUGGACGGCCAAAACAGCACCAAACAUUGCACCAACGGAGUAUCCAAUAGAUCCCCAUAAUACCUGGGAAAUGGCUGUUACAUCCUUUGGAAACCUGCAAUCAAGGACACCAAAGUUUGCAGUUCCAGUCUCGGUGAUCAAAACAUCUCGGGGCUUCAAAAAUUCACUAAAUUUAGGCCAAAACCAGCAAUGAGUAAUCUCGUUGGAAGAAUAUCCUUCCGCAUGCUUAGGCUUGAUGUUGUAGCCAAUGGUAGGAGCAGCCUUGGAAUGACACAUAGAAGCAUCAAGUACUUUCAACAGUUUGCGAAGAAUAUACUUCAUGGCUACAUUUGGAUAAAGAGCAUAUCGAAUGCGCAUGUGGUCUGAAUGAAACUCAACGGCAUUCUUUUGGCUGAGGUGGUAAGAGAAGGAACCCGUGUUAAAGUCUGAUUUGAGAGCACCGAUGGAUAGCAACAGAUCAGUGGAUUCAAUUCUGUCUUUAACUUCAGGAUCUGAAAUUGAACCAACAUAAACGCCGUCAAAAAAUUGCGAAGUUUCGUCAAUUGCAGAUUUACCCAUGGGAGUUACAUAUGUAGGGAAAUGGGUCAAUUUAAUCAGCUCAUGUACUUCUGGAACGACACGAUGUCUUACAGCACAAGCGUCAAUUAAAAUCACUGGUUUCUUUGCAUUGACAACCAUUUCCGAGAUAUGAUUGAUGACUUCUUGCUCAACUGCUGGAUCGUUAGUAUCCUCCUCGAGCUUUAGUCUUUUCCCAAGAUUUGAUGAAGAUGCUUUGAAGUAGCCAGCAUCAGAAGGAAUACCAAUGUAAACAGGCCUAGCCUUUUUAUAACAAAUCGACAAGGCUUCAUCGAUCUUUUCAGCUGCAUCGUUUCCGUUAUCGAUCAUUAUACUGUAGGCAGAAACUUUCUUAAACAUAUCCAUGAAAGUGCGAAAGUCUCCAUCUCCUAAAGUAUGAUGAAGCAAAGCUCCAGUAUCUUGCACCUUUGUGGAAGGCAUUCCAACAAUAUGAACUACUGGGACAUGCUCCGCAUAAGAACCUGCCACUCCAUUAAUAGCGGAAAGCUCUCCCACGCCGAACGUUGUAACAAUGGCUGAAAGACCAUUAACACGAGCAUAACCAUCAGCGGCAUAAGCACCAUUCAACUCAUUGGUAUUGCCAACCCAACGAAAUUUCUCAUCUCCAACUUUCUCAAUUAAGUCAAGUAGAGCUAAAUUGAAAUCUCCUGGAACACCAAGAAUGGACUUGACCCCUAAUUGUUCAAGCCUUUUGAAUAGAUAUUCACCGACUAAAAUAUCCCCACUCAUGUUUGAUAAUGCAAUUUAAUGUGCUUGUGAAAUAUACUCAACAAAUUACAAUGCUGAGUGUGUAUUCCUUUUUCGCAAGAUAAUUAUCUGUUGAAUAACCAGCAGAUACUUUCUGAACUUAAAGGAACAAGUGAGUUUGCUAGCUAAAAGUUAAAAAGAUAUAACCUUAGAUGCUUCAGAGCAGGGUUACUCUGGCUAUAUAAGCAACAUUCCGUCAUCAAUGAUACAUUGAGUUAAUGUGGAUUAUUCUUUUUGAAACUCUUGGUACGAAACCACUCGUCAGAGGCUAUUUCAUUAUUCGACUCAAAUCUCACUAUGUGCCACCCGGGAAAACGUCAACUAUGCAAUUUGCAAUUAUUGAUUUAAGGCAUCGUCAGCAGUUUAUACUGGACGAUUCUUCGGUUAGUGUAAGCAACUGCAGAAAUUAUUAUGAAAACUCUACAUCACCGAACGUUCCGUCUCGAAAUUCUUAAUUGUAUCUAUACCAAAGACAAAAUUGAUACCUUUUACAUUAUGUCUAAACUGAAUUUAAUGACUAUUCCUUAUUUCAAGCUUAUUAAUUUACAUGCUUUAUUGGUUUGUACCAUGUUUGUUUGGAUACUUAACAUUGAGAGCUGAAUGUGAAAUAUUGUUUCGUCCGUAAAAGUAAGGCGUACCUCAUGGUUACGAGACCAUGUGACCACUCAAAAAUAGAAUCCUCAUUAUUAUAAAGUAUCCAAAAGUCUUUGAACAUAUUGCUGUAAUUAUGAUUUCACAUGAAUAUUAACGACAUUUUUCAACCGAGUUCACGAUUUGCCUGACAUCUAGCAAUAUCGAUUUCACAAUUGAUGGACCAUUUAUAGGCUUCUUGCUUUAAUUCUGAUUAUUUUUUUCAUUGUUAUAUUGCUACAGUGUUAAGCUUCAACUUGUUGUUUUUCUGUUUAUCAUAUUGAUUUGCAAAUUGUAACGCUCCUUGCUAUCCUCAAUAGUUGCCAUGAGCCAAACGGUAUAGCAAGAAGUGAUCUCCAGCACUGGUUCCCCCACCCCCACAUGAUGUGUACAUUUAAGAGGGCAGGUAACGCUAAUAAAUAGUAUGAUAAAUAAUACAAAAUUACUGUUAUAAAAAUUUCAACAGAUAUC